This 80-nucleotide small RNA is filed under the name Flavobacterium psychrophilum DSM 3660 = ATCC 49418. RNAcentral describes it as "Flavo-1 RNA". The record is from RNAcentral. Lineage: Bacteria; Pseudomonadati; Bacteroidota; Flavobacteriia; Flavobacteriales; Flavobacteriaceae.
UUUCAGCCUCGAGUGAAGCGAAAGUCUUUUUUGAGGCUUUUUCUUCCUCAAAAAGGUUGCAAGGUAAAACUAGACCCUUG